This 502-nucleotide ribosomal RNA is filed under the name Candida albicans. RNAcentral's name for it is "eukaryotic LSU rRNA". It matches the Rfam family "Eukaryotic large subunit ribosomal RNA", at positions 112 to 629 of the family's 3401-position model. The record is from RNAcentral. Lineage: Eukaryota; Fungi; Ascomycota; Pichiomycetes; Serinales; Debaryomycetaceae.
AAUUUGAAAUCUGGCGUCUUUGGCGUCCGAGUUGUAAUUUGAAGAAGGUAUCUUUGGGCCCGGCUCUUGUCUAUGUUCCUUGGAACAGGACGUCACAGAGGGUGAGAAUCCCGUGCGAUGAGAUGACCCGGGUCUGUGUAAAGUUCCUUCGACGAGUCGAGUUGUUUGGGAAUGCAGCUCUAAGUGGGUGGUAAAUUCCAUCUAAAGCUAAAUAUUGGCGAGAGACCGAUAGCGAACAAGUACAGUGAUGGAAAGAUGAAAAGAACUUUGAAAAGAGAGUGAAAAAGUACGUGAAAUUGUUGAAAGGGAAGGGCUUGAGAUCAGACUUGGUAUUUUGCAUGCUGCUCUCUCGGGGGCGGCCGCUGCGGUUUACCGGGCCAGCAUCGGUUUGGAGCGGCAGGAUAAUGGCGGAGGAAUGUGGCACGGCUUCUGCUGUGUGUUAUAGCCUCUGACGAUACUGCCAGCCUAGACCGAGGACUGCGGUUUUUACCUAGGAUGUUGG